UGGGUCCUUAUCAACUCUUAUCACAGUCCUGAUUCUCACCUUUAUGAUAAAGAGUGAAAUCUGCUGCCACACUGUUUGCAACUGUUUUGACGAUGCUGUAAAAUAUGAUUUUUGCAAUGUUGGUAUCAAAUUGAAUGCAGAUGUGGAUCUGAGCGAGUUUAUUACUGCAUUGUCUUAGGUUGUAAAACCUAAUGUGGAUUUCUUUUGUGGUAAUGCUGAAAAGGAAGAAAACAGUUUUAGAAUGUUAUGGGAGACGGCAGUGAUUCUUGGUAUUUUACACAUAGCAAGAAGCGACUGUCCUUCAGGCUGUUAUUGCAUGGAACAAACUAUUGAUUGUUCUUCUAGAAAGUUGACAUAUUUUCCUCAUGACCUCUCUUUCCAGAUAUUUCAAGAUACGACUGACACCCUGAACGGAUUGAAUAGAAAAUACAUAACUAGUCUGAACUUGGCAAACAACCAAAUAUCCGGAUGGCAAGGAAAGAUUUUGGCUGACAUUCUCCCCAACUUGGUCAGUUUGGAUCUAUCCAACAACAAAAUAGCACAAGUCGCGAGUGCACAAAGUAUUCUUCUAAACAUCAAGCUUCUUAAUCUGAAACUAUCCAACAACCCAAUUCAAAAUUUGGGAUCUGACAUUGACACUGUUCUAUACAGCCAAUCUAUCUCUCAUCUUGAUGUUUCUUCC
This is a long non-coding RNA of Macrosteles quadrilineatus (aster leafhopper), 682 nucleotides long. RefSeq lists it as uncharacterized. The transcript has 3 exons. Lineage: Eukaryota; Metazoa; Arthropoda; Insecta; Hemiptera; Cicadellidae. The record is from RefSeq and is a predicted model, not a curated record.